This 148-nucleotide non-coding RNA is filed under the name Pan troglodytes (chimpanzee). The record is from Rfam by way of RNAcentral. Lineage: Eukaryota; Metazoa; Chordata; Mammalia; Primates; Hominidae.
GCUGGGCGUGGCGGCGCACGCCUGUAAUCCCAGCUACUCAGGAGGCUGAGGCAGGAGAAUCUCUUGAACCCAGGAGGCGGAGGUUGCAGUGAGCUGAGAUCGUGCCACUGCACUCUAACCUGGGCAACAGAGCGAGAUUCCACCUCAA